AGUCACUGACAUUAGAUACCCGUGUAGUCCAGGGUGUAAACGCUGCAGACUUGGUGUUGGAAGCCCUUUGGGGGCAUUCAGUGCCGGAGAGAAGUUGUUAAGUCUGCUACUUGGGGAGUACGUCCGCAAGGAUGAAACUUAAAGGAAUUGGCGGGGGAGCACCGCAACGGGAGGAGCGUGCGGUUUAAUUGGAUUCAACACCGUAAAACUCACCAGGGAAGACUGUUACAUGAAGGCCGAGAUGAAGACUCUGCUAGAUUUUUCAG
Molecule: ribosomal RNA, 266 nt
Filed under: uncultured archaeon
Lineage: Archaea
Description: partial 16S ribosomal RNA
Rfam family: Archaeal small subunit ribosomal RNA
Source: RNAcentral